AUUUUUAUUUUAGAUUUUUACUAAGAGGCGACACCAUCGGUGAUCUUUCAUUUCUGUAUGAUAAUUGUUGGAAAUGACCAGGAAUCAAUUCAUUAUUCUUCUUUUGAUGGGAGCAAUGUUUCUAUGGCAAGAAGGAAAAAUGGAGUCUCAAACAAUUCAUGACAUCGCCAAAAGAAGUGUUGGAAAUACUGCUGCUGCAAAGCCCAAGACAGGAAAAGUAUCUGGCUGGGCAAGAACACGCGGCAUCUAUAACACCAGAGCCAAAAGACGCUGUAGAAGAAGACGUUGUGGAGGACAGUUAUUUUCUAACAUAAUUCCUGCAUUAAUACAAUGUAUUUUUAAUGGCACUUGUGCUAGAGGAAGCGAAAAAUAAAAUAGACAAUAUGUAAUCUUUUUCUAAUUAUAUAAAGUAUAAAACAAGUAUAAAACAAUUAAAUGCUUUU
This is a long non-coding RNA of Saccostrea cuccullata (small rock oyster), 443 nucleotides long. RefSeq lists it as uncharacterized. The record is from RefSeq and is a predicted model, not a curated record. NCBI's taxonomy places the organism in Eukaryota, Metazoa, Mollusca, Bivalvia, Ostreida, Ostreidae. The transcript is spliced from 3 exons.